This 62-nucleotide transfer RNA is filed under the name Mactra chinensis. RNAcentral describes it as "tRNA-Arg". Lineage: Eukaryota; Metazoa; Mollusca; Bivalvia; Venerida; Mactridae. The record is from RNAcentral.
GAGUGGGUGGUGUAAAAAGCAUGUGUGAUUUCGGCUUACAAGGUGAAGUGUUUCCUUACUCU